RNAcentral lists this ribosomal RNA (529 nucleotides) under uncultured bacterium. RNAcentral describes it as "bacterial SSU rRNA". It matches the Rfam family "Bacterial small subunit ribosomal RNA", at positions 777 to 1304 of the family's 1533-position model. The record is from RNAcentral.
AAUAGAUACCCGGGUAGUCCAUGCCGUAAACGUUGGGCACUAGGUGUGGGGGACAUUCCACGUUUUCCGCGCCGUAGCUAACGCAUUAAGUGCCCCGCCUGGGGAGUACGGCCGCAAGGCUAAAACUCAAAGGAAUUGACGGGGGCCCGCACAAGCGGCGGAGCAUGCGGAUUAAUUCGAUGCAACGCGAAGAACCUUACCAAGGCUUGACAUGUGCCAGACCGCCUCAGAGAUGGGGUUUCCCUUCGGGGCUGGUUCACAGGUGGUGCAUGGUUGUCGUCAGCUCGUGUCGUGAGAUGUUGGGUUAAGUCCCGCAACGAGCGCAACCCUCGUUCCAUGUUGCCAGCACGUAGUGGUGGGGACUCAUGGGAGACUGCCGGGGUCAACUCGGAGGAAGGUGGGGAUGACGUCAAAUCAUCAUGCCCCUUAUGUCUUGGGCUUCACGCAUGCUACAAUGGCCGGUACAAUGGGUUGCGAUACUGUGAGGUGGAGCUAAUCCCUAAAAGCCGGUCUCAGUUCGGAUUGGGGU